Molecule: unclassified non-coding RNA, 294 nt
Filed under: Hevea brasiliensis (rubber tree)
Lineage: Eukaryota; Viridiplantae; Streptophyta; Magnoliopsida; Malpighiales; Euphorbiaceae
Source: RNAcentral
AUCAACACCAUCAUUGGUAUAAUGCCAAGUUGAAUCAGCCUUGAUGACGACAAAGGAAACAUGAACGGUAUCGCCUUCAUAUUUAAUAUCAUGAGAGAAGCAUUCUUCCCUAUCAAUCACAAAUCUAAUCCCAAACACAGCCUGCAGGCUCGAUAAAAGUGCCAAUAUUACCACAGUGUAAAGUUCCUUUAGCCGAAUUCCCAUCUUUGAUGUUGAAAUUGAAGGGUUCCUUAAGGCCCCUAUGGAAGCCUCAAUAACUUAUCAGAGAACUCGUACUCGAUUUGAAAAUAAGAC